This is a non-coding RNA of Delphinapterus leucas (beluga whale), 732 nucleotides long. Lineage: Eukaryota; Metazoa; Chordata; Mammalia; Artiodactyla; Monodontidae. The record is from RefSeq and is a predicted model, not a curated record.
UUCCUGGAACCCAGUCCCAGAACAAGCAGAGACCUGUGUGGCAGGGGAGAAGGUGUGGGGACCACCUAGCUCAACCCUCUCGUUCUACAGCCCGGAAAAGAAAGGCAGGGGAGAUCCCCUUUGACCAGGCCUGCCGAGGACUUCUGCUCCGAGAGAACAGGGGCUCCGGGACUCCAAACCCCCGAUCACCGCGCUCUUCAAUCAGUAUAUCCUGAUGGAUGAACCUAUGAGGGUGAGGAAGUGUCCCAAGCUGGCCCCCUGCCUGCCAUCUGUGUGCUAGGCGCUCAUCGCUUCUGGAUCUGGUGGCGGGACGUGGGACCCAGGCCUUUGCUGAGCCGCCUCUAAAGCAGGCCUGGGUUGGAAGCCGCUGCCCAGAGGCCGAGUGGCACUAAGGGGCCAUGAGAAGGGUGGACAUCACGCAGGAUAGCAUGGUGGAUUUUAGAUUGUAGCAUCCACAGCCCAACCCUGCCACUUAGGCACCAUCCAAUUUGUACAAGUUCCUUAACCCCUGAGUGCCAGUCUGUGCCUUGGCCCCUGCCUCCAGGCCUGUUGAGGUCUAAAGGCAAUACCACAUUUCCUGAGGUGCGAGGUUCCUGCUCUGCCCCAGGGCUUCACGCCGGCUGCACUAUUAUCUUACUGUUAUUACUGACCAGAAACUGAGAUAUUGAGGGUUGGGAAGAAUUCAAGGAGAAUCCUCAUUUUCCAAGGAAAAGGCCCCAGGGGAUGCAGGUU